This is a long non-coding RNA of Musa acuminata subsp. malaccensis (wild Malaysian banana), 807 nucleotides long. RefSeq lists it as uncharacterized. The record is from RefSeq and is a predicted model, not a curated record. NCBI's taxonomy places the organism in Eukaryota, Viridiplantae, Streptophyta, Magnoliopsida, Zingiberales, Musaceae.
GUGAAACCAGUGAGCUAUGAUCCCCAGAGAAUCAAUGAGAGCGAGCAGGUAGGUUUCUCGAAUGCGGAGGCUAGAUUGCUUGAAACUAGCGAACGAGGAGGCCGAGAGAAUCGAUCGGAACGCAGCAGCAUGCUUCCUGAAUGCGGAGACGAGGGAUCGGAGGACAAAGAAUCAGAGGGCGACGAGGGGAACGCGCAGCAGGGGCUCGCACUCGUCACCUUGAUCCCGUUCUUGGCUGUUGAGUUACUCCGAGUACUUCUUCGUAACGGAGCCGCUGUGGCCCCUAAGAUCAGAUCAGAUUGCGUCUCUCGACCGUCGGGUCGACUGGCUGAAGUUUCACGAACGGAGCUGCCGCGUUCCCCAAGCUCUUUCUCAUCUCUUUCUGUUGGGGUGUCUUACGGUUUCUUCUUGACUUUCCAUUAGGCUUCUUCAUGUUUUUGGGAUUUCGUUGAAGUCUCUUCUUGAAUCGUCUACGGUUUUACGGUUUCUUUAGGUCUCUUUUGGGGUUUCUUUAGGUUUCGCUUCCUCUCCUCCCGCCUUCUGUAUUCAUCGCUUCCCUUUUAUAGUGUUCCUUUCGAACGAAGCUUUUUGUUCUUGGGAUUUCUUUAGGUUCCCUCUCGAAUCUUUGGUCUUUGUUAGGCUUCUUCUUGUUCUUGGGGCUUUUACCUCUUAUCUCUCGCUCUCCACUCCUCUCUUUAUCCCUCCCGUCCCUACUGCUCCUCCAUGGGAAUUUGUCGGGGGCCCACCCUUUCUGUAGAGACAUCACUCUACGUUGUGAAUAUAGCAUUAGCUGUAGUUUUUGCGUUA